GAGUCGUUAACAAGGUUUCCGUAGGUCGAACCUGCGGAAGGAUCAUUAAAGAAUUAGGCUUCGCGGCCAAGUUCUCACCCUUUGUAACCGAAACCAUGUUGCUUUGGCAGGCCCCUGCAUUUCUCGGGCCCGCCAGAGGUUUAUAAAACCCCUAGAAUCUCUGCUGUCUGAGUACUAUACAAUAGUUAAAA
Molecule: unclassified non-coding RNA, 191 nt
Filed under: plant metagenome
Description: partial contains small subunit ribosomal RNA and internal transcribed spacer 1
Source: RNAcentral